RNAcentral lists this long non-coding RNA (543 nucleotides) under Olea europaea subsp. europaea. The record is from RNAcentral. Lineage: Eukaryota; Viridiplantae; Streptophyta; Magnoliopsida; Lamiales; Oleaceae.
UAAAUAUGGACAGAAAAUUGAAAGGACAGUGCCGACACAGACUGUAUCUAUGAAGAACGUUGCAGUUGAAGCACAAUGCUAGUGCCAAAAAUAACGAGUAUGGCCGAUGGGAGAGGUUGUAGAAUUAAUCACUACUCUUUUUCUCCAUUUUUGUCUUUUAGCACGACAUAUAUUAUUUUCUCUGUAUGAUUUACAUUUAGGAUUUUCAAGUACCCAGAUUGAAACAAAAGGGUUUUCUCGUUCUCAUUUCACUAAAAAGGUGAAAGAAGAAAAAGGAAAAUAGGUCAUUGUCCCCAAUACUCCUUCAAGAAUAUCAAGUACAAGUCAAACGCAAUUAGGGUGCUUUUGAUUGCAAAUAUGGAAUUUGUAAUGAAAGAAAAUAUUAUUUACAUGGAAAUUGUCAAUUAAAUGUAUUUGAUGCAUUUAAUUUUCAACUUAGAAAAUAUUAUACUUGUCCAUUUUUUAUUGAUUGAUAGAUGUCUCUAAUUAAAAUCAUAGGUGAUUUAAUGCUUUUAGUUGAGGCUCAUUCGAAUGCGGAUGAAG